UCCGUAGGCGGGCGGCUCAGUCAGUGGUGAAAGUUUGCAGCUCAACUGUAAAAUUGCCAUUGAUACUGGUUGUCUUGAAUUAUUAUGAAGUGGUUAGAAUAAGUAGUGUAGCGGUGAAAUGCAUAGAUAUUACUUAGAAUACCAAUUGCGAAGGCAGAUCACUAAUAAUAUAUUGACGCUGAUGGACGAAAGCGUGGGGAGCGAACAGGAUUAGAUACCCUGGUAGUCC
RNAcentral lists this ribosomal RNA (229 nucleotides) under uncultured bacterium. RNAcentral describes it as "partial 16S ribosomal RNA". It matches the Rfam family "Bacterial small subunit ribosomal RNA", at positions 568 to 796 of the family's 1533-position model. The record is from RNAcentral.